This 253-nucleotide ribosomal RNA is filed under the name uncultured bacterium. RNAcentral describes it as "partial 16S ribosomal RNA". It matches the Rfam family "Bacterial small subunit ribosomal RNA", at positions 524 to 776 of the family's 1533-position model. The record is from RNAcentral.
UACAGAGGGGGCAAGCGUUGUUCGGAAUUACUGGGCGUAAAGGGCGCGUAGGCGGCCUGCUAAGUCGAACGUGAAAUCCCCGGGCUUAACCCGGGAACUGCGUCCGAUACUGGUGGGCUUGAAUCCGGGAGAGGGAUGCGGAAUUCCAGGUGUAGCGGUGAAAUGCGUAGAUAUCUGGAGGAACACCGGUGGCGAAGGCGGCAUCCUGGACCGGCAUUGACGCUGAGGCGCGAAAGCCAGGGGAGCAAACGGG